UACGUAGGGGGCUAGCGUUAUCCGGAAUUACUGGGCGUAAAGGGUGCGUAGGUGGUUUCUUAAGUCAGAGGUGAAAGGCUACGGCUCAACCGUAGUAAGCCUUUGAAACUGGGGAACUUGAGUGCAGGAGAGGAGAGUGGAAUUCCUAGUGUAGCGGUGAAAUGCGUAGAUAUUAGGAGGAACACCAGUUGCGAAGGCGGCUCUCUGGACUGUAACUGACGCUGAGGCACGAAAGCGUGGGGAGCAAACAGG
This 252-nucleotide ribosomal RNA is filed under the name uncultured bacterium. RNAcentral's name for it is "partial 16S ribosomal RNA". It matches the Rfam family "Bacterial small subunit ribosomal RNA", at positions 524 to 776 of the family's 1533-position model. The record is from RNAcentral.